AACGAACGCUGGCGGCAGGCCUAACACAUGCAAGUCGAGCGCCCCGCAAGGGGAGCGGCGGACGGGUGAGUAACGCGUGGGAACGUGCCCUCUUCUACGGAAUAGCCUCGGGAAACUGGGAGUAAUACCGUAUACGCCCUUAGGGGGAAAGAUUUAUCGGAGGAGGAUCGGCCCGCGUUGGAUUAGGUAGUUGGUGGGGUAAUGGUCUACCAAGCCGACGAUCCAUAGCUGGUUUGAGAGGAUGAUCAACCACACUGGGACUGAGACACGGCCCAGACUCCUACGGGAGGCAGCAGUGGGGAAUCUUAGACAAUGGGCGCAAGCCUGAUCUAGCCAUGCCGCGUGAGCGAUGAAGGCCUUAGGGUUGUAAAGCUCUUUCAGGGGGGAAGAUAAUGACUGUACCCCCAGAAGAAGCCCCGGCUAACUCCGUGCCAGCAGCCGUGGUAAAGUAUCGUACG
This 458-nucleotide ribosomal RNA is filed under the name uncultured bacterium. Its description in RNAcentral is "bacterial SSU rRNA". It matches the Rfam family "Bacterial small subunit ribosomal RNA", at positions 29 to 531 of the family's 1533-position model. The record is from RNAcentral.